This 1142-nucleotide ribosomal RNA is filed under the name uncultured organism. RNAcentral's name for it is "bacterial SSU rRNA". It matches the Rfam family "Bacterial small subunit ribosomal RNA", at positions 32 to 1219 of the family's 1533-position model. The record is from RNAcentral.
AACGCUGGCGGUCUGCUUAACACAUGCAAGUCGAACGCAACCUUCGGGUUGAGUGGCGGACGGGUGAGUAACGCGUGAGAAUCUGCCUUGGGGUCGGGGACAACCACUGGAAACGGUGGCUAAUACCGGAUAAGCCUUUGGGUAAAAGAUUUAUUGCCCCAAGAGGAGCUCGCGUCUGAUUAGCUAGUUGGUGAGGUAAGAGCUCACCAAGGCAGCGAUCAGUAGCUGGUCUGAGAGGACGAUCAGCCACACUGGGACUGAGACACGGCCCAGACUCCUACGGGAGGCAGCAGUGGGGAAUUUUCCGCAAUGGGCGAAAGCCUGACGGAGCAAGACCGCGUGAGGGAGGAAGGCUCUUGGGUUGUAAACCUCUUUUCUCAGGGAAGAAGCUCUGACGGUACCUGAGGAAUCAGCCUCGGCUAACUCCGUGCCAGCAGCCGCGGUAAUACGGAGGAGGCAAGCGUUAUCCGGAAUUAUUGGGCGUAAAGCGUCCGCAGGUGGCGAUUCAAGUCUGCUGUCAAAGCACGGGGCUUAACUCCGUUAAGGCAGUGGAAACUGAAUAGCUAGAGUGCCGUAGGGGUAGAGGGAAUUCCCGGUGUAGCGGUGAAAUGCGUAGAGAUCGGGAAGAACAUCGGUGGCGAAAGCGCUCUACUGGACGGCAACUGACACUCAGGGACGAAAGCUAGGGGAGCGAAUGGGAUUAGAUACCCCAGUAGUCCUAGCUGUAAACGAUGGAUACUAGGUGUAGCUUGUAUCGACCCGAGCUGUGCCGAAGCUAACGCGUUAAGUAUCCCGCCUGGGGAGUACGCACGCAAGUGUGAAACUCAAAGGAAUUGACGGGGGCCCGCACAACCGGUGGAGUAUGUGGUUUAAUUCGAUGCAACGCGAAGAACCUUACCAGGGCUUGACAUGUCCGGAUAUCCCGGUGAAAGCUGGGAGCGCCUUCGGGAGCCGGAACACAGGUGGUCCAUGCCUGUCGUCAGCUCGUGUCGUGAGAUGUUGGGUUAAGUCCCGCAACGAGCGCAACCCUCGUCUUUAGUUGCCAGCAUUAAGUUGGGCACUCUAGAGAGACUGCCGGUGACAAACCGGAGGAAGGUGGGGAUGACCUCAAGUCAGCAUGCCCCUUACGCUCUGGGCGACAC